RNAcentral lists this transfer RNA (110 nucleotides) under Actinomadura coerulea. RNAcentral's name for it is "tRNA-OTHER". Lineage: Bacteria; Bacillati; Actinomycetota; Actinomycetes; Streptosporangiales; Thermomonosporaceae. The record is from RNAcentral.
GGGAGCACACCGGAAGUCUGUGCAGGUCAACGCGGCGGAGCCGCCAAGAUCCAUGACGGGCUGUAAAUCCGUCGGCUUAGCCUACGCAGGUUCGAACCCUGCACCCGCCA